CCUUCCAAAGUCUCUUUUUAUUAUGGCAUCUGCCAAAAAUCCAAGUUCAGAGUUUCACCAUCUCUGUCAGAUCCAGCUGUGGAUAGAGCUUCUGGGCACUGCUCCUUGAGUGCCCUUCUUCUCAGUGUGAAGCCCUGGAAUCUAAAUAGAGAGGUUAUUUAUUCCUUUAGUCCCAACAUACAAUGGUGAGGCAGGCAGAAGAUAACACAAGAGAGAGUCCCACUCAAAAUGAGAACAGACAGCCCAUAGCAGUCACUGGCCUGUUGUAACUCUGAAUCUUUUGGGCCAAGUGGUGUCAAUUUUCAGCUUAGAGCUCAGCCCUAACUCUCUGGGAGUUACUCUUUGUGGCUGAUUUUUCUCCUUUCUGGUUUCUUGGCUCUGCCUUUUAAGUUAUCCUUCCUUUUCCACAAGAAGUGGUUUAUGUUUUUAAUUGCAUAGACUUCUCAGCCCACGUCCUUUCUGGAAAAGAAGGGAAGGCCUCUUUCUUUUGUAUGCUAUUACUUUCGGUCUAAACUGGUAUAAUUGGUUUAAACAUUUAGUGGGUUUGCUAUAUAUCCAUUUAUAAUGAAUGCCGUUAGAUAACUGUCUCCCCCACAAAUCUCUUUACACAUACCCUUUUUCACUUGGAGCUACCUAUGAGUCUGCAAUGAGACAGCAGCUUGGUUUUUCAGAGAGCCCUGUUGCUUAAUGGAGAGAAUCUGUGAGGCUCUCCCUCAGACCCUCAGAAGGCCUUUUGUUUCUUUGAAAGAGUCUCUGAGAUAUCAUUAGAUCUUCCUUUGGGGGAGAGGUCUUUUUAGGGCUGCAUCCACAGCACAUGGAAGUUCCCAUGUGAGGGGUCAAUCAGAGCUGCACACUAUUUUAUUUUAUAGCUUAUUUUUUAUAGCACUCCACGCACAAUCCAAAAUUUCUGUCUGCAUUACUAUAGUUUUGAAAAAAAGGGAGUUUCCAUCGUGGCUCAGUGGAAACUAAUCCUACUAGUAUUCAUGGGGAUGCAAGUUUGAUCCCUGGCCUUGCUCAAUGGGUUGGUGAUCUGGUAUAGGUCGCAGAUGUAGCUUGGAUCCCCCAUGGCUGUGGCUAUGGUGCAGACCAGCAGCUGCAGCUCCAACUCGACGCCUGGGAACUUCUGUGUGCCAUGGAUGUGGCCCUAAAUAGCAAAAAAAAAAAAAAAAAAAAAAAUUCUAUUCACCCUGAAUAAUAAUUAUUUUAUCUCACACAGUCUGUGAGUCAGGGAUGUGUAUAGGGCACAGCAGGAAUGGCAUAUCUCUGUUUCACAAUCUCUAGGGCCUCAGGAGCACACCCCACUAGAUGACUUCUGGGGGACAAUGUCUGGAGACAUUUUGGUUCUUACAACCAGUGGUAAGGGCUGCUACUGUCAUCUCAUGGACAGAGAGAGAUCCUACAGUGCACACAGGACAGUGCCUCACAGCAAGGAAUUAUCUGCCACCAAAUGUCUGUGGUGCUAAGGUCAGUAAGCCCUAAGCUAACCUUGGAAGUCAUAGAACUUUAUAGCCAACAAAUUCUUACAAGCCACUCGCAUGCUGUAUGGUGAGGACAUUCAAGAUGGCUGUUCUCUUGCUCCUUGCACCAUCCUUGUCUCACCUCUAUCCUAUUCACAUGCAUUGGCUUGCAACCCCCGGCCCCAGCAGGUGAUUGUUCUAAUCCUUAAGCUAUAAUGGCUCCUCCUGCUGAUUCAUUAAAGGGAAACAUCUGCCUUCAUGGUGGUUGUUAACAGGAGCAGUUGUGAGUAAUGUGCCCCAGCUGCUGGCUUCCCAGCUAACUGGUGGGCCUACCUGACGUCACUUCCCCUAUAAAUGGUCUCCUCCCCCCAGUAGCAAAGAUGGCUGUCCUGUACCACCUGCCAGUUGCUGCUCACCAUGGGGUGUUGUUUCCAGGACCUUUGCUUCUGACGUGUAAGAUCCCCUGUCCAAUCAACCACUGAUGUCUCUGCCACUCUCUCCAGGCUUUUUCUUAGGUCUUAAAAUUGGGCAGCUGUAAGCCUUGCAGGCCCAUGGGAUGCAGCCCAACAGUAGCAAGCCAGUCAAGAGGUUGAGGAAACUCCCCUGAGUGCUGAGGUGCCGGAAAACGGAGUUUGGGAUAGGGGUGAAGGAAUCCUGAGAUGGUCGUCCACUGGCAUGUGGGGCCCGGUGGAGGCUGUCUGCCAUGAGGGAUGUCUUCCCGUACCUAAUUAUAGACAGGCAGUAGCCACUGAUGCUAAUAGCCUGUUAAACUCAGAGACUCUUUUCAGUUUGAAAGUAGCAGCCCUGUGCUCCUGGUUGAUCUGACUACACAGGGAUGGCUGAUGAAUGCAGAUAAAUGGCAAGGACCUGGCUUUCCUAUCAAAUACUUGGGUGCUCUCCAGUCAAAUAAUACCCCCAUCCUACUACCCUAAACAAUUAACAGACUUUAGGGGCAUUAACUCAGGACAGGUUUGUGAACUUGGUAUGGCCAGUUACCUGAAAGAGUAUCCCUGGGGCCUGUGGCAAUGGCAAAAUGGUAAGAGUACCCUUAAGCUUCUGGUCCCAGCUAUGGAAGGGGGGCAGAGCGAUGAAACAGCGUGACAGAACAGCAGAUCUAUGCAGCCUAACUGGUGGAAGACAUCACAAAAGGC
This 2608-nucleotide long non-coding RNA is filed under the name Sus scrofa (pig). RNAcentral describes it as "lncRNA (ENSSSCG00045000870.1, ENSSSCG00050074460.1)". The record is from RNAcentral. Lineage: Eukaryota; Metazoa; Chordata; Mammalia; Artiodactyla; Suidae.